UGAGAUGAUGUUUACAAGUCAUUUGACUUAACUUUCGUUCUACUGAUGACCAUGAAUGAACCUAUUUAAUCACUGAUC
RNAcentral lists this small nucleolar RNA (78 nucleotides) under Tetranychus urticae (two-spotted spider mite). RNAcentral describes it as "snoRNA tetur37g01224". The record is from RNAcentral. Lineage: Eukaryota; Metazoa; Arthropoda; Arachnida; Trombidiformes; Tetranychidae.